UAGGUUUAGCCGAAUGGAUUUGAUCAUCAUCAGUCAAAUUCACCGUCAGUAAAUUUUUAGCGGAGAGCGCAUUGAAACGGCUCAACACUUAUUUUACUCGGAGUAAUCUUAUCUCAAUGUUUGAGCCGUGAAUCUGUUGCUGUGAUAUAAUUGUUUUGUUUUGCCGAUAAAAACGAAGUGCUUCAGAGUGAUUGAUACUGACGGAAUAAAAGUGUUUUACCGUAGUUUGUAAAUUACAAGUAUUUUUGUGGGUAUUAUUAGGUAACAUCUCGUGCCGACGAAUUAUAAAAUUGUCGAACUUAUUCAAUAGAGCCAGUGAACAUUGAUAAUGUUAAAAUCACCAUAAUUAUUAAAAGUAACCUGUUUUGUAUUCUUCUGAUCGCGGUUGUUCCAUUGUGUGAACCAUGGAAUCCCUGAAGAAGAAAGGUCGCCCACCUCAUCCAAGGGCCAAAGCCAACCCAUUAUCAGCAUUAACAUUUUCAUGGACUCUUCCAAUGUUUUUCGGAGGGCUGAAGAAGGAAAUGGAAGAGCAUGAAUUAUAUGAACCUCUAGAUGAGCAUGCUUCUGGU
Ostrinia furnacalis (Asian corn borer) is the source of this 569-nucleotide long non-coding RNA. RefSeq lists it as uncharacterized. The record is from RefSeq and is a predicted model, not a curated record. Lineage: Eukaryota; Metazoa; Arthropoda; Insecta; Lepidoptera; Crambidae. The transcript has 3 exons.